This 1313-nucleotide unclassified non-coding RNA is filed under the name Hevea brasiliensis (rubber tree). Lineage: Eukaryota; Viridiplantae; Streptophyta; Magnoliopsida; Malpighiales; Euphorbiaceae. The record is from RNAcentral.
UCAAAUCCGCAUCAGUAACCCUCUAGAAGAUGAGCAAAUCAACAGAAUCAACAAAAGCAUCUCAACAAAACAACCAGAAAAACCAAUAAUUAAACCAGAAAAAAGACCAACUCAGGUAUUGCUUGCUACACCACAAAUUCAACCAAUAAUUUUAAUUACUAUACUUCUAUAUAUUUUGUUUAUAAUAUUCUUUUUGGAUUUUACAGACAUUAUAUAUUAUAUGUUUUUAACUCUGCCUAUGCGAGCUUAACAAAGCAUAGUCGGUCUCAAGCUUGGGGAAAGGAGGAAGGUUGUGGUAGGUUGACAACCAAUGUAAAACUAAAUCAAUUCUCAUGAGUACGGAUCUUUUUGAUAUAAACUUGAGGACAUGCCCACUUAGGCAUGCGCUAUAUCGACACUUGAGUUUAGUGCUAAACGAGCAAGGGAUUUUAGCAUACCGCCUCUUGAGUGUGUCGGAUUAUACAAGCGAGAGUUCCCACAUCAUAGACGAGUGUGAGCAAAAAAGCUAGUCAUGCCAGGAACAUACAAGGCACAAACCAAAUAGCUUUUAAGGAAGCUAUUGAUAGAAGGUGUAUGUAAUUUAGACAAUAGCUUUGAUACCGAGAGAAGUUCAUUGGUGUGUGCUAGAACAAAAAAGUCAAUCUCAAAUAUACAAAUGUCAUUAAGAACACAUAUGAGGGAGCGAUUACAAGUGUGAAAACAAUAGAAGAUGAUACGGACAAGUUAUCCAUAACAGUGGGUUUACAUCAGGGAUUAGCUUUGAGUCCAUAUUUGUUUGCUUAGUUAUGGCUAAACAAUUAUAUUCAAUAUGAUGUGCCACGGUGCUCUUUAUUUGCAGAUAAUAUUGUCUUAGUGGAUAAAAUAAGUGAAAAAGUUUAUUAAAGUUGGAGUUGUGGAGAAAGAUUAUUGAGAAUAAGAGCUUUAUGCUAAUUAGAAGUAUGACAAAAUAUGUAUAUUGCGAGUUUAGCACUCAGUGAAGAAAUGAAAGGGAGGUUCAAUUGGAUGGAAUUUUGGAGCCAAAAUGUAGUUAAUUUAAAUAUUUAGGUUCUAUCAUUCAAAAGAAUGAAGUAAUAAAUGAGGAUGUUUCUCGUAGGAUGAAAACAAGGUGGAUGAAAUGGAAGAGUGCAACAGGUGUUUUAUGCGAUCGUAAGAUCCCUAACGAAGUUAAGAUUUAUAUAAUUGUGAUCAGGUUAGCUUUGGUAUAUAGGAGUGAAUAUUGGGGCAUCUAAGGGACAACAUAUCUACAAGAUGAGUGUGGCAAAGAUACGGAUAUUAAAAUGGAUGUCUAGUUGGGUGGACGCAAGAUUAAAUAU